RNAcentral lists this ribosomal RNA (1302 nucleotides) under Weissella cibaria. RNAcentral describes it as "bacterial SSU rRNA". It matches the Rfam family "Bacterial small subunit ribosomal RNA", at positions 46 to 1305 of the family's 1533-position model. Lineage: Bacteria; Bacillati; Bacillota; Bacilli; Lactobacillales; Lactobacillaceae. The record is from RNAcentral.
GCUAAUACAAUGGCAAGUCGAACGCUUUGUGGUUCAACUGAUUUGAAGAGCUUGCUCAGAUAUGACGAUGGACAUUGCAAAGAGUGGCGAACGGGUGAGUAACACGUGGGAAACCUACCUCUUAGCAGGGGAUAACAUUUGGAAACAGAUGCUAAUACCGUAUAACAAUAGCAACCGCAUGGUUGCUACUUAAAAGAUGGUUCUGCUAUCACUAAGAGAUGGUCCCGCGGUGCAUUAGUUAGUUGGUGAGGUAAUGGCUCACCAAGACGAUGAUGCAUAGCCGAGUUGAGAGACUGAUCGGCCACAAUGGGACUGAGACACGGCCCAUACUCCUACGGGAGGCAGCAGUAGGGAAUCUUCCACAAUGGGCGAAAGCCUGAUGGAGCAACGCCGCGUGUGUGAUGAAGGGUUUCGGCUCGUAAAACACUGUUGUAAGAGAAGAAUGACAUUGAGAGUAACUGUUCAAUGUGUGACGGUAUCUUACCAGAAAGGAACGGCUAAAUACGUGCCAGCAGCCGCGGUAAUACGUAUGUUCCAAGCGUUAUCCGGAUUUAUUGGGCGUAAAGCGAGCGCAGACGGUUAUUUAAGUCUGAAGUGAAAGCCCUCAGCUCAACUGAGGAAUUGCUUUGGAAACUGGAUGACUUGAGUGCAGUAGAGGAAAGUGGAACUCCAUGUGUAGCGGUGAAAUGCGUAGAUAUAUGGAAGAACACCAGUGGCGAAGGCGGCUUUCUGGACUGUAACUGACGUUGAGGCUCGAAAGUGUGGGUAGCAAACAGGAUUAGAUACCCUGGUAGUCCACACCGUAAACGAUGAGUGCUAGGUGUUUGAGGGUUUCCGCCCUUAAGUGCCGCAGCUAACGCAUUAAGCACUCCGCCUGGGGAGUACGACCGCAAGGUUGAAACUCAAAGGAAUUGACGGGGACCCGCACAAGCGGUGGAGCAUGUGGUUUAAUUCGAAGCAACGCGAAGAACCUUACCAGGUCUUGACAUCCCUUGACAACUCCAGAGAUGGAGCGUUCCCUUCGGGGACAAGGUGACAGGUGGUGCAUGGGUGUCGUCAGCUCCUGUCCUGAGAUGUUGGGUUAAAUCCCGCACCAGCGCAACCCUUAUUACUAAUUGCCAGCAUUUAUUUGGGGACCCUAUUGAGAAUGCCGCGGACAAACCGAAGAAAGGGGGGGGUGGAGGCCAAAAAUCCUGCGCCCUUUUAACGGGGGGAAAACCGGGUUAAAAGGGGGUAAUAACAAAUUGCCACCCGCCGGGGGGGGGAAACCUUAAAAAAAAUUUUCCUUUUCCGAUUGUAGGG